RNAcentral lists this ribosomal RNA (244 nucleotides) under uncultured bacterium. RNAcentral's name for it is "partial 16S ribosomal RNA". It matches the Rfam family "Bacterial small subunit ribosomal RNA", at positions 524 to 769 of the family's 1533-position model. The record is from RNAcentral.
UACGUAGGGCGCGAGCGUUGUCCGGAAUUAUUGGGCGUAAAGAGCUCGUAGGCGGCCUGUUGCGUCCGCUGUGAAAGCCCGGGGCUUAACCCCGGGUCUGCAGUGGAUACGGGCAGGCUAGAGGUAGGUAGGGGAGAAUGGAAUUCCCGGUGUAGCGGUGAAAUGCGCAGAUAUCGGGAGGAACACCGGUGGCGAAGGCGGUCUCUGGGCCUUACCUGACGCUGAGGAGCGAAAGCGUGGGAGC